Molecule: ribosomal RNA, 406 nt
Filed under: uncultured bacterium
Lineage: Bacteria
Description: partial 16S ribosomal RNA
Rfam family: Bacterial small subunit ribosomal RNA
Source: RNAcentral
AUUGAACGCUGGCGGCAGGCUUAACACAUGCAAGUCGAGCGAGCGGCGGACGGGUGAGUAAUGUCUGGGAAACUGCCUGUUGGAGGGGGGUAAAUACUGGAAACGGUCGCUAAUACCGCAUCCCCUCAGAUGUGCCCAGAUGGGAUUGGCGAGUUGGUGGGGUAAUGGCUCACCUAGGCGACGAUCCCUAGCUGGUCUGAGAGGAUGACCAGCCCCACUGGAACGUGGAACCGGUCCAGACCCCGACGGCGGGCAGCGUUGGGGAAUAUCGCACAAUGGGCGCAAGCUGGAUGCGGCCAUGCGGCUUGUGUGUAGCGGCCCUUCGGUUUGUAAGGCACUUUCAGCGAGGAGGCGUUACUCGCAGAAGAAGCACCGGCUAACUCCGUGCCAGCAGCCGCGGUAAUAC